Molecule: ribosomal RNA, 729 nt
Filed under: Triticum aestivum (bread wheat)
Lineage: Eukaryota; Viridiplantae; Streptophyta; Magnoliopsida; Poales; Poaceae
Description: partial small subunit ribosomal RNA
Source: RNAcentral
AUGCUCGUGAAGUUGAAAGAGCCCGCUGCUAUGGUAAAAAGCUUCCUAUCCUUGAUGAUUCUGUUGUGGUAUCCAUUUCCCCUUGGUCAGCGUCAGUGGGCGCUAAGGCUGAACUCCAAGAAACCUUGGGUUCAUGUCCGCAAUGUACCCUUGGAAAAAAAAUGUGUGCAACAUGUGUCAUAUGCUGGUGGUUUGGUGGGUUUCACUUUGGAGGUUGAUAAGGCUACUCUUCAUAAGCCCGAAUAUGCUCGCAUCCUUCUCGGGUGUAGGGAGGUGGAAAAAAUUCCUCCUUCUGCUGAAGGAAUGUUGGGUGAACAGUUUUAUGAUUUCUAUUAUGAGGUUGAGCAUGUGGUGACAGGGCCUUCUGGUGCUAGCCAACACUCUGUUCCUGUGGACAGCAAUUUUUCUCCUUCUGUUCCUAAAAAGGCUAGAUUUGAUUCUCAAUCUUCUGCCUCGAAUGAACAAGGAGGGACGAGUGCCUCAGCUAUUGGGAAUUCCUCUUAUCAGAACUAUACUGGUAGUACCCGGUUGUCUGCUGUUUCUGAAACUGAAGAGGAAGAGGAUUGCGAUGAUGGAAAUCAUACUGAACUUCUGAUACACACCAUGGCUGAAGAGCGUGAUGCUGUGAAUCUAUCUGAUUCAGAUAACUUGGUGGUGAGUCCGGAAAGUGAUCCUGGAAAGGGGGGAGGGACACUUUGUGUAACUCCCCGAUGCACAAGGAGAAGCUGA